RNAcentral lists this transfer RNA (104 nucleotides) under Promethearchaeota archaeon. Its description in RNAcentral is "Candidatus Lokiarchaeota archaeon (microbial mat metagenome) tRNA-Leu". It matches the Rfam family "tRNA". Rfam says of the family: Transfer RNA (tRNA) molecules are approximately 80 nucleotides in length. The record is from RNAcentral. Lineage: Archaea; Promethearchaeati; Promethearchaeota.
GCGGGGAUGUCCGAGCGGUCAAAGGAGCUGGGCUUAGGACCCAGUGGCGUAGGCCUGCGUGGGUUCGAGAGAUGAAAAUUCCGAAAAACCCACUCCCCGCACCA